RNAcentral lists this ribosomal RNA (238 nucleotides) under uncultured Pseudomonas sp. RNAcentral's name for it is "partial 16S ribosomal RNA". It matches the Rfam family "Bacterial small subunit ribosomal RNA", at positions 115 to 355 of the family's 1533-position model. The record is from RNAcentral. Lineage: Bacteria; Pseudomonadati; Pseudomonadota; Gammaproteobacteria; Pseudomonadales; Pseudomonadaceae.
GCCUAGGAAUCUGCCUGGUAGUGGGGGACGAACGUUUCGAAAGGAACGCUAAUACCGCAUACGUCCUACGGGAGAAAGCAGGGACCUUCGGGCCUUGCGCUAUCAGAUGAGCCUAGGUCGGAUUAGCUAGUUGGUGAGGUAAUGGCUCACCAAGGCGACGAUCCGUAACUGGUCUGAGAGGAUGAUCAGUCACACUGGAACUGAGACACGGUCCAGACUCCUACGGGAGGCAGCAGCA